This 510-nucleotide ribosomal RNA is filed under the name Beltrania rhombica. RNAcentral describes it as "eukaryotic LSU rRNA". The stretch from base 122 to 275 matches the Rfam family "5.8S ribosomal RNA". Lineage: Eukaryota; Fungi; Ascomycota; Sordariomycetes; Amphisphaeriales; Beltraniaceae. The record is from RNAcentral.
UUGCCUCGGCGGAGCCUACCCUGUAGCUACCCUGUAGGGUGGUUACCCUGUAGCGCCCCGCCGGUGGAUUUUCAAACUCUUGUUAUUUAUAGUAAUCUGAGAGUCUUAUUUUAAAAGUCAAAACUUUCAACAACGGAUCUCUUGGUUCUGGCAUCGAUGAAGAACGCAGCGAAAUGCGAUAAGUAAUGUGAAUUGCAGAAUUCAGUGAAUCAUCGAAUCUUUGAACGCACAUUGCGCCCAUUAGUAUUCUAGUGGGCAUGCCUGUUCGAGCGUCAUUUCAACCCUUAAGCCUAGCUUAGUGUUGGGAGUCUACGAGUGGGCCAGGCUACCCUGUAGCGUGGUUACCCUGUAGUUCCUGAAAAUCAACGGCGGAUUUACAGUAUCCUCUGAGCGUAGUAAUUUUUUAUCUCGCUUCUGUUUAGGUGCUGUGACUNUCGGCCGCUAAACCCCCAAUUUUUUNGUGGUUGACCUCGGAUCAGGUAGGAAUACCCGCUGAACUUAAGCAUAUCA